AAACUAGAAGCCAUCCAUCAGAAGCUGACCAACCUGACGAAUUCAACUCCCCUACAUACUUCCUCUACGCCAAGAGAAGAAGAGAGAAGAGAGGAAGAAUAGCAAAGAAUCAAAAGAACCGGCUUCAAUGGCUUCACCAGCAGCUCAGUAGAUCAAUGGUGAAAACUAGAAUACCAACUUGAUAGAAGAAUGUAAUAGUAGAUCAAUGGUGAAAACUAGAAUACCAACUUGAUAGAAAAAUGUAAUGUACAAUGGUGAUCCCUAGCAUUAGGUGGCAAGGGGUCAGCGCUGGUCAUCAUUUUCACCGUCCCAACAUUUCCUAAUGC
Molecule: long non-coding RNA, 326 nt
Filed under: Oryza brachyantha (malo sina)
Lineage: Eukaryota; Viridiplantae; Streptophyta; Magnoliopsida; Poales; Poaceae
Description: long non-coding RNA (OBRA_LNC001604)
Source: RNAcentral